Molecule: ribosomal RNA, 451 nt
Filed under: uncultured bacterium
Lineage: Bacteria
Description: bacterial SSU rRNA
Rfam family: Bacterial small subunit ribosomal RNA
Source: RNAcentral
AACGAACGCUGGCGGCAUGCCUAACACAUGCAAGUCGAACGAGACCUUCGGGUCUAGUGGCGCACGGGUGUGUAACGCGUGGGAAUCUGCCCUUGGGUUCGGAAUAACAGUUAGAAAUGACUGCUAAUACCGGAUAAUGUCUUCGGACCAAAGAUUUAUCGCCCAGGGAUGAGCCCGCGUAGGAUUAGCUAGUUGGUGAGGUAAAGGCUCACCAAGGCGACGAUCCUUAGCUGGUCUGAGAGGAUGAUCAGCCACUCUGGGACUGAGACACGGCCCAGACUCCUACGGGAGGCAGCAGUGGGGAAUAUUGGACAAUGGGCGAAAGCCUGAUCCAGCAAUGCCGCGUGAGUGAUGAAGGCCUUAGGGUUGUAAAGGCUCUUUUACCCGGGAUGAUAAUGACAGUACCGGGAGAAUAAGCCCCGGCUAACUCCGUGCCAGCAGCCGCGGUAAU